UAAAAAGACAAAUAGAAGAUGAAAUACAAAUAUAAAAGGCUUCACCCCAUCCACUCCUCCCACCCUCCUCUCUAAAAUACACAAAACACAGGCUUAGCUAAGGUGAAAAUGGUUUUGGCGAGAUUAGUGGUGUCACUAAAGACUAAAUUCAAGUCGUUAAAGAUAUGGAAAGCGGUCGAUGAUUCAUACAAUAAGAUCGAAAAGAGUGAUAGCAUGAGGGUGGAAAUACGGAGCAGGAAAGCACGUAAACUUAUCGAGGAAACUCUCAAAGUCGCAGACUCUCCAAAGUGCACCAAAGCUUACUCGUUCUGAUGUUGUGGUAAUAAUAACAAUAAUAGUAACUGUGACUCCACACUAGUUAUGUUUCUGUAUAUGAUUGCAACUAGUAUUUUAUUGUAGUGGUAGUAACAAUAAUAAUAACUUUAUUUUAUGUUUUUCUAUAUA
Molecule: long non-coding RNA, 444 nt
Organism: Helianthus annuus (common sunflower)
Lineage: Eukaryota; Viridiplantae; Streptophyta; Magnoliopsida; Asterales; Asteraceae
Exons: 2
Source: RefSeq, a predicted model, not a curated record